RNAcentral lists this ribosomal RNA (525 nucleotides) under uncultured fungus. RNAcentral's name for it is "eukaryotic LSU rRNA". The stretch from base 193 to 344 matches the Rfam family "5.8S ribosomal RNA". Lineage: Eukaryota; Fungi. The record is from RNAcentral.
CUUGGUCAUUUAGAGGAAGUAAAAGUCGUAACAAGGUCUCCGUAGGUGAACCUGCGGAGGGAUCAUUCAUGAGUGGGCCGAAACGGCCUCUAUUCAUCAAGCCCGUGGACGAAGCCAGUGCUUUGGCGCUUUGGCGUCGAGCUUCAAAUGCUUUAUUGACCUAUUUGCGUCCGGGGAAAUAUUGAGACUCAAAACUUUCAACAAAGGAUCUCUUGGCUCUCACAUCGAUGAAGAACGCAGCGAAGCGCGAAAUGUAGUGUGACUCGUGAGACUAAGUGAAUCAUCGAAUCUUUGAACGCACAUUGCGCCUCCCGUAAAUGGGAGGCAUGCCUGUCUGAGCGUCGGUUUAAUCCAAUAAAUCCAAGAGAUUUGUCUUGGGCUUCGCCCUUGGGCGUCGCCUAGAAGCCAGCGGCCCGAAGCGGAUGAGAUUCCUCGAGAACCGACCGCCGGCGCGUUUCCUAGAGCUAGAGACCUCAGAUCAGGUAGGACCACCGCCUGAACUUAAGCAUAUCAAUAAGCGGAGGA